CCUACGGGAGGCUGCAGUGGGGAAUUUUGGACAAUGGGGGAAACCCUGAUCCAGCGACGCCGCGUGAAGGAUGAAGGCCUUCGGGUUGUAAACUUCUUUUGGAGGGGACGAAUAAAUUGACGGUACCCUCAGAAAAAGCCACGGCUAACUACGUGCCAGCAGCCGCGGUAAUACGUAGGUGGCGAGCGUUACUCGGAAUUACUAGGCGUAAAGCGUAUGUAGGCGGUUGUAUAAGUCUAUGGUGAAAUUUCCUGGCUCAACUGGGAAGGGACAUAGAUACUGUAUAGCUUGAGUGUUGGAGGGGGAGACGGAAUUCCUGGUGUAGCGGUGAAAUGCGUAGAUAUCAGGAGGAACACCGAUGGCGAAAGCAGUCUCCUGGCCAAAUACUGACGCUGAGGUACGAAAGCUAGGGUAGCAAACAGGAUUAGAUACCCCAGUAGUC
Molecule: ribosomal RNA, 442 nt
Filed under: uncultured bacterium
Lineage: Bacteria
Description: bacterial SSU rRNA
Rfam family: Bacterial small subunit ribosomal RNA
Source: RNAcentral